This 1356-nucleotide ribosomal RNA is filed under the name uncultured bacterium. RNAcentral describes it as "bacterial SSU rRNA". It matches the Rfam family "Bacterial small subunit ribosomal RNA", at positions 28 to 1381 of the family's 1533-position model. The record is from RNAcentral.
AUUGAACGCUGGCGGCAGGCUUAACACAUGCAAGUCGAACGAUGAUUAUCUAGCUUGCUAGAUAUGAUUAGUGGCGGACGGGUGAGUAACAUUUAGGAAUCUGCCUAGUAGUGGGGGAUAGCUCGGGGAAACUCGAAUUAAUACCGCAUACGACCUACGGGUGAAAGGGGGCGCAAGCUCUUGCUAUUAGAUGAGCCUAAAUCAGAUUAGCUAGUUGGUGGGGUAAAGGCCCACCAAGGCGACGAUCUGUAACUGGUCUGAGAGGAUGAUCAGUCACACCGGAACUGAGACACGGUCCGGACUCCUACGGGAGGCAGCAGUGGGGAAUAUUGGACAAUGGGGGCAACCCUGAUCCAGCCAUGCCGCGUGUGUGAAGAAGGCCUUUUGGUUGUAAAGCACUUUAAGCAGGGAGGAGAGGCUAAUGGUUAAUACCCAUUAGAUUAGACGUUACCUGCAGAAUAAGCACCGGCUAACUCUGUGCCAGCAGCCGCGGUAAUACAGAGGGUGCGAGCGUUAAUCGGAAUUACUGGGCGUAAAGCGAGUGUAGGUGGCUCAUUAAGUCACAUGUGAAAUCCCCGGGCUUAACCUGGGAACUGCAUGUGAUACUGGUGGUGCUAGAAUAUGUGAGAGGGAAGUAGAAUUCCAGGUGUAGCGGUGAAAAUGCGUAGAGAUCUGGAGGAAUACCGAUGGCGAAGGCAGCUUCCUGGCAUAAUAUUGACACUGAGAUUCGAAAGCGUGGGUAGCAAACAGGAUUAGAUACCCUGGUAGUCCACGCCGUAAACGAUGUCUACUAGCCGUUGGGGUCCUUGAGACUUUAGUGGCGCAGUUAACGCGAUAAGUAGACCGCCUGGGGAGUACGGCCGCAAGGUUAAAACUCAAAUGAAUUGACGGGGGCCCGCACAAGCGGUGGAGCAUGUGGUUUAAUUCGAUGCAACGCGAAGAACCUUACCUGGUCUUGACAUAGUGAGAAUCCUGCAGAGAUGCGGGAGUGCCUUCGGGAAUUCACAUACAGGUGCUGCAUGGCUGUCGUCAGCUCGUGUCGUGAGAUGUUGGGUUAAGUCCCGCAACGAGCGCAACCCUUUUCCUUAUUUGCCAGCGGGUUAAGCCGGGAACUUUAAGGAUACUGCCAGUGACAAACUGGAGGAAGGCGGGGACGACGUCAAGUCAUCAUGGCCCUUACGACCAGGGCUACACACGUGCUACAAUGGUAGGUACAGAGGGUUGCUACACAGCGAUGUGAUGCUAAUCUCAAAAAGCCUAUCGUAGUCCGGAUUGGAGUCUGCAACUCGACUCCAUGAAGUCGGAAUCGCUAGUAAUCGCAGAUCAGAAUGCUGCGGUGAAUACGUUCCCGGGCCU